AUCGUGGGUACUAUAAAAUGGAAAGGGCACUCCUUCUGAGAGUUCUUUUCGUACGAGCUCACCUCGAGUUGGUUCACGAGAUGCUGCAUACAAUGGAUAUGCUCCUGGGCGAGAUCCACGAUUACCAGACCUGUGGGAUGUCCCCUGAUGGAUGACCAGCUAUCCAGUCUUAAGGAUGAAUAUCUACUGAAAACUCCGUUGCCAUGGCCCUGGCAUACGUAACGAGGCGAGGAACUUGCCAUGAGUGUUAGCCACUCGCCAAACUGGAGCAUGUUCUGAAUACAAGACCUGUGGGAUGUCCCCUGAUGGAUGACAACUAUCCAGUCUUAAGGAUGAAUAUCUACUGAGAACUCCGUUGCUAUUUCCCUGGCAUACGUAAUGAGGCGAGUAACUUGCCACAAGGGUGUCUGACUCUCGCCAAAUUGGAGCACGUUUUGAAUACAAGGAUUGUUGGUGCAUAGGAUGUUCCUAUGGCUGUCUUGGAAUGUGCAGUAUAGCAGGCCUCAAGGUAUGGGACCUUUGGUGAUUUCCCUUUCGAGGCCGUGGGUUCAUUUCAAGAAGUUACUGAAGCCACACCCCAACUAAAAUAAAUAUAUUUGGACUUUAAA
This is a long non-coding RNA of Clupea harengus (Atlantic herring), 608 nucleotides long. RefSeq lists it as uncharacterized. The record is from RefSeq and is a predicted model, not a curated record. NCBI's taxonomy places the organism in Eukaryota, Metazoa, Chordata, Actinopteri, Clupeiformes, Clupeidae.